Molecule: long non-coding RNA, 904 nt
Organism: Sinocyclocheilus grahami
Lineage: Eukaryota; Metazoa; Chordata; Actinopteri; Cypriniformes; Cyprinidae
Exons: 4
Source: RefSeq, a predicted model, not a curated record
AUAUUUGUCGAGUAGCAUUGUCUUCUGUCAUAUGAAACGGUGCACCUCACAUGUACCUUCACAGUUUUUUUGUCAUUCUCUCUUUCUCUUCCACUUUUAGAUUUCCCUUUGCUUCUUCCCCUGGGCUUCUUUCCUCUGCUCUCUCUUCUGCUCUCUCUCUCUCUGCCGAAGAUCAGGACCUGAAACCGGGUGACGUGACCAGCAAACGCAAUCUAUGGGAAAACAAGGGGUCCUCUGCUACCAAGCAUUCCCCAUGCUAAUUGUCUACAGAUCUGACCACCUUGAGGAGAGCUUCUCUCGCACUUUCGCUCACUGCCACGAGAGCAGGUGGUUGGUUUGCAGGAAGGAGGUGCUUUAAAGUCACCAAGAGUAACUACUGUGGCACUAAUUGACUUUUCAUUAUGCUCCGCCCACCUCAGCUUCCAUUGCUCGCUCAGACAAGUGGUCUAACGUGUCUAAUAGGAAUGAACUGGAGAUUUUCAGGAAACAAUGAGAUUGUUCAGUAGAAUGUGCUCAUGGAAGUGGAAAAAGUGUGAUACUGCAAAGCAUCUGUAUAUGCCACUUUGUAUAUAACAUUGCAAGUUUGCAAGUGAAAACCUUAAAUAAAUUAUAUAAUUAUGCAGUCAUGUGAACAAAAACUAUGGAGACUGUGAAUCAGAAUCGGUUACGACAGUAAACACAGUAAAUUGAAAAGAGAAAAGCCUCUUUUAUAACAUUUUUGUAACAAAUGUAAUAGCUCACAAUGGUACUGUGAACUUAUUAGUCACUUGCAUCUGCUAUGACCUGAAUCAAUAUGUAAAUUAAUUAACAUUGAUUUACCCUCAAGCAAAUGUAGGUCAAGAUUUAUUUAAACAUUGGGAAAAGGAAAAAAUUAUGGGUGGCUUGUGUCACUAUUAUAAGUGAC